Molecule: ribosomal RNA, 685 nt
Filed under: uncultured ciliate
Lineage: Eukaryota; Ciliophora
Description: bacterial SSU rRNA
Rfam family: Eukaryotic small subunit ribosomal RNA
Source: RNAcentral
CUCGAUGGUAGUGUAUUGGACUACCAUGAGGAUUACGGGUACGAGGAAUUAGGGUUUGAUAUCGGAGAGGGAGCCUGAGAAACGGCUACCACUUCUAAGGAAGGCAGCAGGCGCGUAAAUUACCCAAUCCUGACACAGGGAGGUAGUGACAAGAAAUAAUAACUCGGGUACUUUUCAGUAUUACGGGAUUAAAAUGAGAACAAUUUAAAGAUCUUAUCGAGGAGCAAUAAGUGGACAAGUCUGGUGCCAGCACCCGCGGUAAUUCCAGCACUUAUAGUGUAUAUUAAUGUUGUUGCAGUUAAAAAGCUCGUAGUCGAUCAUCUAAUAGUCAGCGAUAAGGGCUUCGCGUCCUGUCGUUUGGCUGUUAUCUGCUCGAGAACUUUCCCUAUCUUAAUUGAUAGUGUUGGGGAUCGGGCACUUUCCUGAGAAAAAAUUAGAGUGUUCAACGCAAGCUAAUGCUAUGAAUAUUACAGCUUGGAAUAAUAGAAUAUGACUUGAAGUCGCUUUUGUUGGUUAUGAGACUUUAGUAAUGGUUAAUAGAAACAGUUGGGGGUAUUAGUAUUUAAUUGUCAGAGGUGAAAUUCUUGGAUUUAUUAAAGACUAACUUAUGCGAAAGCAUUUACCAAAGAUGUUUUCAAUUGAUCAAGAACGAAAGUUAUGGGAUCAAAGACGAUCAGAUACCGUC